UUUUUUUUUUUAAGGAGUUAAUCGGUAUUUGUUGAAACUGGAAAAAAUAAAGAAAGAAUAUAAAAUGGAUGACAAGUUUAGGCACUUGAUAUUUCAUUUCUUGUUCAUUACUGUUCAAGCUAUGAUAGCAUCAUAAUAGUGAAAUAAAUUAUACACAUUUCAUAUGUAGGAGAAACUGGAAACCUAACAAUCUCAGUGGAUGUUGGAAAACUAUUUAUAAUCUAAGAGCCAGAUUAAGUAUCUCAAACUCAACACAUUUUAAGUUUAGUAAUUUGUAGAAACCCUACCUGCCAGUUCCAGACCAUUAAAUCCACCAGAUUUGUGGGUCAUUAGUUUGGAAUUCUUCCCUUCACUUUUCCUAUGUUAAUUUCAAAAUGUCCCUCUCUUUCCCACAGUCCAGACCAGUAUUCAUUGUACUAAACAAAUAGACUACUGGUUAAAAAAAUUCAGCAGAUACAAUUUGUUCAGGAACAAUCUGCAACAUAGAUCUGCUUUAACCUUAGCCCCCAGUGAAUUUACCUAUUGCAGAAUGCUCCAAGUGAACUUGAAAAAUAAGCUCAGUGGACAAAGAACCAUAGCUGAAUUCCUAACCAUUUACAGAAACCCAGGCCUAAGACAAAGUUCUGCCUGGAAGGACAAUGUGCAAGUCCGAAUAUGUAGUGCAAACAGCACAAUUAUUUUGCAAUGAGAUUGGGAAGCCAAGUGCUGUUGUGUCAUAGUUGUAGAUCAUUUCUCCAAAACAGGAACAAGCACAUGUGGUUUCAUUUCAUUUUAUUUCAUGAAAAAAAAUUUCAGUUGGGCAGAAUAAUGUGUUGUGACUUUUCUCUUCUGGAGUUUACUUGGUCUUUCUGGAACACUGUAUGAUCUUUUAAGGGACAGAGAAUGAAUGAAGAGGGGGUUUUGUUUUGUAAGAAAAAGAGAUUUCUUUUAAAAUGUAUCUAAUGAAUUUAAAACUGAGGAAACAUUUUAUACUUUUCUCUGGCCAUGGAAAGAAACUUUUUCCUUUCCUUUCACUCAGUUGAAAUAAUAUACUCCCCUCAAGUCAUAAAAUUCAAAGGUUUUUAUAUACAAGGGCUCUUUUUGCCCUGAAUCCUUGGUUUCCUGAUUCUUCGUGCACUGAGCAGUAAUAUCAUUCUUCUCAGUUUGAGACUUUGCCAUCGUUCACAUUUUCUAAAGGCUUAAAGGACUAUCAAGUCGGUUAGUUGGCAAACUUUUGGGUCCUAUUUAUAUAAAGAUUGGAGACACUUGUAGGACUCUCUGCCUACCAAAUCUGAGGCUGUUCCUCUGACUUUUCUCAUGGAUUUUACUUAAACAGAGUACAGAAGUUGGUAAGUGACAACCAUGUGAAGAACCACAUAAUCCUAAAUUUCUUGCUUACCACACUUUUCUGGUUCUUCCUUUUAAGAAUCCUCUAGACACGGUUCUUUGACUACACCAGACACUAAGUCCCUUUUUAGGAAAGGAGAAAAAUUGAAUUAAAUUUCUUGAAUGCCUAUUGUGCCAGACACAUCAGUUAUAUCAUUUAAUCUAAGAGCCAUAGCAAUGCUACAGAUGAAGAAUGGGAGAUGUAGAAGGUCAGUGACUUAUUACCCAUGGUCACACAGCCAAGGACAUGCAUGUCCUCUAUAAUAAAUCACUCUCUCAUUCAAACUUUUGCCCACUUCACUCAGAAAAAUCUCUCCUUGUACUUCUCUCUUUUAGUCCUUUUGUUAAUCAAGUCAAAGCAAAACAAAGCAAAAACAUCCUAAAAGUAAUUCUAGUGAUAGACUUGAAACCAAAAGAAAACUUUAUGUAAUGAAGGAAAACUAUACCUAAGAACUUCCAUGAACCUUUCUGACCUUGAAAGCAGGUUUAGAAUCUUUCUGAAAUAAUCAUUCUAUUUCCUUUUCUUUCAAAUAAAUGUUUGUCCUUAGGCUCCAACAUUCAAGAUAAAUAAAACACUUUCUAAUUUAAUGCUACUUUGAUUACUACUAGCAUUGCAACAGUGUUUUUCCAACAUUUUUUUAUUCCCUAGAGUAUUAGAUCUUUGUAGAGUAGACUACAACCCAAAAGCACCAUUUAUAACUUUGUUUCUAUGGAGAGGAGCACUCUGAAAGUUCCAAAGAGCUAAUGUACAAAUACUCAGUGGAACACAAUGUUUUUAAGUUGGGGACUGCUCAUAUUUAUGAAAUGAGUGUUUAAAACAAAAACAAAUAUUUUAACAGGGACAUGUAGGGACAGAGGGGUCUCACUGAUUCAGCCUCUUACCGCCCCCUCCCACACAUACACAAAGAUGAUUGGAGUCCUAUAAUCUAUUAUACAGCCAGUUCCAAAGUAAAUUGAGGAAUGGGAGAAAAGAACCAGAGAUGUAACUGUAGCUCGUGAAAUGACCACAAAUAUUACUGAUAGUUUAUUUAGUAACUUUGGUUAAUUCCUAUCUUAAUAAACUUCAUGUAAAAUUCAGAGUUGCCCAAUUGGGGGGAAAAAAAAGAACUAUUUUUUUUUACAUAUUACAUUUCUUUAAAUUUUUUUUUUACAUUUUUUUAAAUAAAGGCCAAAACCAAAAAAAAUUUUAAAAAAAUAAAUAAAUAAAUAAAUAAAGGCCAAAACCUAUUCUGAUCUGAAAUUUGAAGACAAUUAGAAAAUCAGCAACAGGAAAAUGUUAUCAGAAAUCUGAUGCGUCGGGUAAUUUCAGUAGUUACACGUGUAUGUUAAGUGUGUUUCUUUUGUUAUACUAGUCUUUAUUUUAAAGUAAAAGAAAAAUUCUCAAAAGUAUUCUUCUGAAAACUUCUACCUAAGACCUUCUAGAAACUUCCUAUUUAGAAAUAUUUUUGCACUUUAAUUUUUUGGAAUUUACAACUUUAUAAAAAUAUUCAUUCACCAUACUUUUUAUAAAAACACUGUCACUUCCCCCGCCCCCGUAACUCUGUUUAUAAUUAUUAUUGUAUUUAGUCUAUGGCCAUACCACCCUGAACGCGCCGGAUCUCAUCUAAUUGUUACUAUAUUUACUUUUCAGCAUGUUAAUAUAAAAGAUAAAUGAAAUAUUAUUUUAAAAGCACAGAAGUCCAAGCAACCAAAUGACUUGGGAAUUUUUGGUUGGAUAUCUCUAACCAAAACCAGCUUUAAAAAACUUAGUUGACUCUAAAGAUUUUAUCUUGAAACACAAAAAUUCACAAAUUCUGAAAAAAAGAUACAGAGAUGUAAGCAUUGGAAAAGAAAAAAGUAAGAAUUAGGUUUGCAGGCAAACUUGCAAAAGGUGCAAGGAAGUCAUACGUCAGGACUAGCUGGCCAACUUAGAAGACACAGCAAGUAUUUAAACAGAAAAACCACACAGAACUACUAAAGUUGCUAAAUUUGCAUUGGAUUAUUCGUAAUGAAAAAACAGCAGCUCUGUCACCAUCAUUGUAUUCACAAAGAUCAUGACAUAUCUUCAAGUAGAUGUGGUGGGUGAGUAUGGAUUUAUGGGACACAGUCAAGGUUUAUUAUUUGGGGACCAGAAUGGUCACCUGUACUUUUGCUUUAUCUCAAGAUAUAGAACAUCAUUUUCCCAUCUGUGGAACGAGAAGUGCUUAUGGUAUUAAAAUCAGGGCAAAGUGUCGGAUUUCACUUCAACAAAAUGCAAUUUCUAAUUUAUUGACCAUCUGGUAUUCCUCCUCUACCAUGAAUAUACAGGAUUUUGUGUGGUUAUUUUAAAAGUUUUUACAUGGUUAAUUUAGUUGGUAUGUCUCUUUAAAUACCUUUUCUCUUAUUAUUAUUAUUUUUUUUAAUUUGCUGUAGUCCAUAUAUGAGCACUCCCACAUAUUUCUCAUCCUACCUAACACAGACGACUGUCCCCAUGUAAAAUAAAUCCUAUAAUCAGCCACCCAUGCUAUUCUCUUGUUUAACAAAUCAUUAAAGCCAGGCUUCAUUCACAUUAAAUCUCUGUUUUAUAAGAAACAUAAGUAUUAAUAAAGUAAUCUUAAAGUAACCUUCAUAAAUGGGAGCAGAAAGAAACAGCAGUUACUUUAAAAGAUGUAAAAACUAUAGAUAAAUCCAAUUUGAAGUUUUUAGGGGAAAAAUUGUCUUUAAGACUAUAUGCUAGAUUUUUAAUAUUUCCACUACAGAUGUUGGGUUAAAUGUCCACACUGGUCUGGUAUCAAAAUUCAAGAGUGCCGGAAGUAGAACUAGGUCUAUACCCGCCCCCCCCUUCAACACCCUUUUAACAUUGGCUUAAAAGUAGUUUUUAUUGCCUUUCUGGAAUACUAGUAUACUAUUUUUAAAUUAAAGUUGUAAAAUAUUUCUGUGGGUGUAAGAAAUAAUUCCUUUCCUAAAACAUAAUAAUUAAAGUAAUAAGUCAUUAGGGGAAAGAUGAUCAUAAAGGGAUUACCUUUUAGGGCAUUAACCCUAAUUAUUACCUAACUAGCCAUGAGGUAACUGAAUUUUAAAGCUGUUGAAAGUUAACACUAUUAUUUCACACCGAUCCAGACUUUUCAGCCUAUCCACAACUUGCAAAUGUAGUUUGGGAAAAAAAAAUUACCAUUUAGUUUUUUAAAAAUCGUUUUCCUUUUUGGUCCUUCUAAACUUUGUUACCCUGCUUGGAUAUGCUGCACUCUUCUGGGCAGAGAAUUUCAUAGCAGUUAUCAGAAUAACCGAGCCCUAAGACCAGUCUCCUCAAACAAUCUCCCUUUACCAGAAACGUUGGAGGUGUAAGUCCUCUUACACAAAACAGAUGCACAACAAACAAUGACGAUUUAAGUGAAAACUGUAAUAAUGACUUCUGAUUUAAUUUUGCGUCUUCUCGCACAGUCUACACCUGAAACAACUGUACCGGAGGCACCGUCCUGGAAACUGCCAGCUGCUUCCUUUGUUUUAAAAAUGGCAAGCAGACACAGAGCUAAAAAUCAACGUUUCCAGAGAAGGUUGGGGGGGGGGGGGAGGAGGAGGAGGAGGCAUAGACGACUUCUAACAGACCAGCUUUCAGAAACGAGAAGUCGGUAGUCAACUUUUUCCUGAUAACGGGGGGAAAAAAAAUCACAAACACAUUUUGGAAAAUAAUGCUGUCUUGAAAACCAUCUCUGUUGGACCAGGUCCUUACUUCCCUGGAAGUAAUCACACCCAUAGACUUCAUUUCAGCACAGGGUUCACAUGUAUCACUCGAAGCUAUGGGCAUAAAGCUGCCUCCUUCAAAUGGAAAAUUUGACCAACCCCUA
Molecule: long non-coding RNA, 5168 nt
Filed under: Canis lupus familiaris (dog)
Lineage: Eukaryota; Metazoa; Chordata; Mammalia; Carnivora; Canidae
Description: lncRNA (ENSCAFG00000054995.1)
Source: RNAcentral